Molecule: long non-coding RNA, 1020 nt
Filed under: Cyanistes caeruleus (blue tit)
Lineage: Eukaryota; Metazoa; Chordata; Aves; Passeriformes; Paridae
Description: lncRNA (ENSCCEG00000001939.1)
Source: RNAcentral
AAAGACUUUUGCUGUUAUUUCCCAUCUGAACUGAAGGGAAUCAUCUUCUCGAGAAUCUGCUCUGUGUUGUAACUACUUCACUGAUGAUAGGUCCGCAUUUGAUACGGGUAAUUCAGCACAGAAAGCGAGCAGUGCCCCACAAGGAUGUGAGCAGUGGCGUUGAUGUCUUGCUCUCACCAGAUCAAGUGUGCAGCGAAAAUGUUCUGUGCCCACACUGGGUUAUGGGAAUUAAGUUAUUUUUUCAUGUCGAAGCUCCUUAAGAAAUGUGUUGAGAUUCAAACGGGAUAUUCUGACAGCAGAUGAGUUAUGCUGUUUACAGGACAAACUUCUGUCACUUAAAAACCUUGUAAAAGAGUAUUUUCAUGCUGGAACAUAAUCAGAUAUGGCUUAAAACUGCCAUUGGAAGUAAAGCAAAAAAGAAAUACCAGCUACUGGUCUUCAAAAAAGUAAUUUGGCUUCUUGAGUUCUUUACCAUGCACAAGUGCACAGACAGGCAGGAACUGCUGAGUUUCCUGCAUUGAAAGCUUCCCUUUUGGCCACAGUCUAUAAAGGAAAUUGCAAAAGACCAACAAUUUGAUAAGCCACUGUGAAGUAAGAAGCAAGCGAGUUCCAAAGCCAUUGCCAAUAGCUUGGGCUUUGAAAGUUGUAGGCAGCUGCCUUAUUAAUGAAAAAAUUUAUUUUCACAUCAUCUGUAGAGGUUUUUCUUCCUAGAUUUAUAAUCCUUCUUUACAAACCUACCCAUAAGAAACUAAUUUUUAAAUUUGUGCAGGGUUCUAACAAAUGCUCAGAUGAUGAUUUUAAGUUGCCAUCCAAUAUGUCGAACCAUGGUGAAAUCACUGAUUCAGAUACAAUUUCACAGCAAGUAAAACUUUGCUCUGAAGUAGAUGAAGAGAUGAACAGGAAAAAAAUGAAACAAGACAAUUGUAUGAGGAACUUCAUAGCGACAUAGAAGUAAGUGACACUUGGUAAAAAGGAUGUGAGUUAUGUGGAUAUGCUGGGCUGAGUUACAUGUUUAUGUUG